AACGCUGGCGGCAUGGCUAAAACAUGCAAGUCGAACGCGAAAGUACCUUCGGGUGCGAGUAGAGUGGCGAAAGGGCGAGGAAUACGUUUCUAACGUGCCCCUGGGUGAGGGAUAGCAUCGGGAAACCGGUGGUAAUACCUCAUGAUCCCCGGUUGUCGCAUGGCAGCCGGGGCAAAGGUUUACCGCCCGGGGAUCGGGAAACGCCCUAUCAGGUAGUUGGUGAGGUAACGGCUCACCAAGCCUUAGACGGGUAGCGGGCGUGAGAGCGUGACCCGCCGCAUCGGGACUGAGACACUGCCCGGACUCCUACGGGAGGCUGCAGUAACGAAUAUUCCGCAAUGCGCGAAAGCGUGACGGAGCAAUGCCGCGUGAAGGAUGAAGCCCCUCGGGGUGUAAACUUCUGUCAGGGAAUAGGAACAAAAUGACCGUUCCCAAAGGAAGGGCCGGCUAACUUCGUGCCAGCAGCCGCGGUAAUACGAAGGGCCCGAGCGUUGCGCGGAAUCACUGGGCUUAAAGGGUGCGUAGGCGGAACUGUAAGUACUUUGUGAAAUCCCUCGGCUCAACCGGGGAAUUGCUUGGUAUACUGCGGUUCUUGAGGCCAGUAGGGGCAGCCGGAACUCUAGGUGGAGCGGUGAAAUGCAUAGAUAUCUAGAGGAACGCCAAAGGUGAAGACAGGCUGCUGGGCUGGACCUGACGCUGAGGCACGAAAGCGUGGGGAGCAAACAGGAUUAGAUACCCUGGUAGUCCACGCCGUAAACGUUGUGCACUAGGUCCCGGAGGUUUUGACGCCAUCGGGGCUGGAGCAAAAGUAUCAAGUGCACCGCCUGGGGAGUACGGUCGCAAGGCUUAAAACUCAAAGCGAUUGACGGGGGCUCA
RNAcentral lists this ribosomal RNA (876 nucleotides) under uncultured organism. RNAcentral describes it as "bacterial SSU rRNA". It matches the Rfam family "Bacterial small subunit ribosomal RNA", at positions 32 to 923 of the family's 1533-position model. The record is from RNAcentral.